RNAcentral lists this ribosomal RNA (448 nucleotides) under uncultured bacterium. Its description in RNAcentral is "SSU rRNA". It matches the Rfam family "Bacterial small subunit ribosomal RNA", at positions 26 to 518 of the family's 1533-position model. The record is from RNAcentral.
AGAACGAACGCUGGCGGCAUGCCUAACACAUGCAAGUCGAACGCUCAUCUUCGGAUGGGAGUGGCGCACGGGUGAGUAACGCGUGGGAACCUGCCCCGAGGUUCGGGAUAACCGAUGGAAACGUCGGCUAAUACCGGGAUACGUCCUAAGGGAGAAAGAUUUAUCGCCCUGGGAGGGGCCCGCGUCGGAUUAGCUAGUUGGUGGGGUAACGGCCUACCAAGGCGAUGAUCCGUAGCUGGUCUGAGAGGAUGAUCAGCCACACUGGGACUGAGACACGGCCCAGACUCCUACGGGAGGCAGCAGUGGGGAAUAUUGGACAAUGGGCGCAAGCCUGAUCCAGCAAUGCCGCGUGAGUGAUGAAGGCCUUAGGGUUGUAAAGCUCUUUCGGCGGGGACGAUGAUGACGGUACCCGCAGAAGAAGCCCGGCUAACUCGUAGCCAGCAGCCGC